UGAACCAUAGGUAAAAGCAUACAAGAAACAUUAUGAAAUGAAAAAUUAAUUGAAACAUGUUGUUGUGAAAACUGUAUUUUAAAGGGGUGACAUACCAGUUGCAGGUAAUAGGAUACAAUAGCAAUGAAAUAGUGCACAAAGGGAGAGCAAAGUGUGCAAAGAAUGAGAGCAGCAGUCUGAGUAACGGCAGUAUGAGAAUAGCAGCAGCAAUAUGAGAAUAGCAGCAAUAAGAGACCCAAUGUAGACAAACAAAUAAAACCAAGUAAUGUAAAGUAAUCAACCCAGGCUACUCAAUCUUGG
RNAcentral lists this long non-coding RNA (300 nucleotides) under Nicotiana benthamiana. RNAcentral describes it as "long non-coding RNA (NBEN_LNC004477)". Lineage: Eukaryota; Viridiplantae; Streptophyta; Magnoliopsida; Solanales; Solanaceae. The record is from RNAcentral.